CGCUCCUUCUCUUCUUGCAUGCACAGAUGGCCCCUCCCUCUAGAGUAGUUUUAAAGCGCCCCAUGGAUAGUGAUGAAGACAAUGUUGUUCUCACUAGCUAAUGCAGGUCAGCUAGAGCUAAGAAGGCAAAGAACUCGUUAACUCCUUCAGCGCCUAUGCCCCUGCCGCUCCUACGUCACCCUCACGCCCUCGCAGACGAUGAUGUUGAUGUCGAUGCAGCCAAAGCAUUGCGCACCUUCUUCAACGUCGUUGAUUAUGCCCCAGCUCAGAAUCCCCUAAGGCUCCACUUCGCUUCUGAGACAACUAUCUAUGGCAAGCUCUUCAUGGCUACGACUGCUCUCAUGGUUUUGCUCGGCCACAAGCGCUACGACAUAUCAGAGAGCCCCGCCGGUGUUAUGCAUGUUUUUACUCGAAGCAUCAAGGACGCCGUGCUGCUCGAAUCGCAAGUGCAUGCUGCAUUCGGUGUCAUACUAUACGUCCAUCGCGUGUCUAUGGUUGACCGCGAGUUUUGUUAUGCACGCGGCGAAGCUGCUGCGUUCAAGUUGUAUGAGCACGACCGUUUGUGAUGUGUGCCUGCUGA
Long non-coding RNA from Triticum aestivum (bread wheat), 580 nucleotides. RefSeq lists it as uncharacterized. The record is from RefSeq and is a predicted model, not a curated record. NCBI's taxonomy places the organism in Eukaryota, Viridiplantae, Streptophyta, Magnoliopsida, Poales, Poaceae. The transcript is spliced from 3 exons.